This 429-nucleotide ribosomal RNA is filed under the name Bacteroidota bacterium. Its description in RNAcentral is "Bacteroidetes bacterium partial 16S ribosomal RNA". It matches the Rfam family "Bacterial small subunit ribosomal RNA", at positions 355 to 776 of the family's 1533-position model. The record is from RNAcentral. Lineage: Bacteria; Pseudomonadati; Bacteroidota.
UAGGGAAUCUUCCGCAAUGGACGCAAGUCUGACGGAGCAACGCCGCGUGAGUGAAGAAGGAUUUCGGUUCGUAAAACUCUGUUGUUAGAGAAGAACAGCGCAUAGAGUAACUGUUAUGCGUGUGACGGUAUCUAACCAGAAAGCCACGGCUAACUACGUGCCAGCAGCCGCGGUAAUACGUAGGUGGCAAGCGUUGUCCGGAUUUAUUGGGCGUAAAGCGAGCGCAGGCGGUCAAUUAAGUCUGAUGUGAAAGCCCCCGGCUCAACCGGGGAGGGUCAUUGGAAACUGGUUGACUUGAGUGCAGAAGAGGAGGGUGGAAUUCCAUGUGUAGCGGUGAAAUGCUUAGAUAUAUGGAGGAACACCAGUGGCGAAGGCGACUCUCUGGUCUGUAACUGACGCUGAGGCUCGAAAGCGUGGGUAGCAAACAGG